Molecule: transfer RNA, 90 nt
Filed under: Fibrobacter sp.
Lineage: Bacteria; Pseudomonadati; Fibrobacterota; Fibrobacteria; Fibrobacterales; Fibrobacteraceae
Also listed under: 1 other name
Description: tRNA-Ser
Rfam family: tRNA
About the family: Transfer RNA (tRNA) molecules are approximately 80 nucleotides in length.
Source: RNAcentral
GGAGAGGUGUCCGAGUUGGUUUAAGGGGCACGCCUGGAGAGCGUGUGUACGGUUCCCGUACCCAGGGUUCGAAUCCCUGCCUCUCCGCCA